UCCUAUAAAGCUGUGUACUUCUUUCAAAUU
This 30-nucleotide small RNA is filed under the name Bombyx mori (domestic silkworm). RNAcentral's name for it is "piRNA piR-bmo-1423208". The record is from RNAcentral. Lineage: Eukaryota; Metazoa; Arthropoda; Insecta; Lepidoptera; Bombycidae.